RNAcentral lists this ribosomal RNA (327 nucleotides) under uncultured eukaryote. RNAcentral describes it as "partial 18S ribosomal RNA". It matches the Rfam family "Eukaryotic small subunit ribosomal RNA", at positions 1470 to 1796 of the family's 1831-position model. The record is from RNAcentral.
CCCUUAGAUGUUCUGGGCCGCACGCGCGCUAUACUGAUUCAUGCAACAAGUUUUGUCCUUGGCUGAUAGGCCUGGGUAAUCUUUGAACGUGAAUCGUGAUGGGGAUAGAUGAUUGCAAUUAUUCAUCUUCAACGAGGAAUUCCUAGUAAACGCAAGUCAUCAGCUUGCAUUGAUUACGUCCCUGCCCUUUGUACACACCGCCCGUCGCACCUACCGAUUGAAUGGUCCGGUGAAAUCUUCGGAUCUGAGAGAUGUCUGAUUAAUUUCGGACGCCUUUUGGAAAAGUUGUUUAAACCUUACCAUUUAGAGGAAGGUGAAGUCGUAACA